CAGUCGCCGCGGUAAUACGUAGGGGGCAAGCGUUAUCCGGAAUUAUUGGGCGUAAAGAGUGCGUAGGUGGUCUACUAAGCGCGAGGUGAAAGGCAAUGGCUCAACCAUUGUUAGCCUUGCGAACUGGCAGACUUGAGUGCAAGUGAGGAAAGCGGAAUUCCUAGUGUAGCGGUGAAAUGCGCAGAUAUUAGGAGGAACACCGGCGGCGAAGGCGGCUUUCUGGAUUGUAACUGACACUGAGGCACGAAAGCGUGGGUAGCAAACAGGAUUAGAUACCCCAGUAGUCCCUGUCUCUUAUACA
Molecule: ribosomal RNA, 301 nt
Filed under: uncultured bacterium
Lineage: Bacteria
Description: partial 16S ribosomal RNA
Rfam family: Bacterial small subunit ribosomal RNA
Source: RNAcentral